AAUCAACGCUGGCGGCGCGCUUAACACAUGCAAGUCGAGCGAGAAAGGGGGAGCAAUCCUCCGAGUACAGCGGCGCACGGGUGAGUAACACGUGGAUGAUCUGCCUUUGAGUGGGGAAUAACCCUGGGAAACCGGGGCUAAGACCGCAUACGCCUGGGAAGGGAAAGCGAGCAAUCGCGCUCAAAGAGGAGUCCGCGGCCGAUUAGCUAGUUGGUGAGGUAACGGCUCACCAAGGCGGGGAUCGGUAGCCGGCCUGAGAGGGCACACGGCCACACUG
This 277-nucleotide ribosomal RNA is filed under the name uncultured bacterium. RNAcentral describes it as "partial 16S ribosomal RNA". It matches the Rfam family "Bacterial small subunit ribosomal RNA", at positions 29 to 315 of the family's 1533-position model. The record is from RNAcentral.